AUGAUUAUACAGGCCUAAAUGU
This 22-nucleotide microRNA is filed under the name Macaca fascicularis (crab-eating macaque). RNAcentral describes it as "novel_miR112-5p". The record is from RNAcentral. Lineage: Eukaryota; Metazoa; Chordata; Mammalia; Primates; Cercopithecidae.